RNAcentral lists this ribosomal RNA (497 nucleotides) under uncultured bacterium. RNAcentral describes it as "partial 16S ribosomal RNA". It matches the Rfam family "Bacterial small subunit ribosomal RNA", at positions 28 to 507 of the family's 1533-position model. The record is from RNAcentral.
GAUGAACGCUGGCGGCGUGCCUAAUACAUGCAAGUCGAGCGAACGGACGAGAAGCUUGCUUCUCUGAUGUUAGCGGCGGACGGGUGAGUAACACGUGGAUAACCUACCUAUAAGACUGGGAUAACUUCGGGAAACCGGAGCUAAUACCGGAUAAUAUUUUGAACCUCAUGGUUCACAAGUGAAAGACGGUCUUGCUGUCACUUAUAGAUGGAUCCGCGCUGCAUUAGCUAGUUGGUAAGGUAACGGCUUACCAAGGCAACGAUGCAUAGCCGACCUGAGAGGGUGAUCGGCCACACGGGAACUGAGACACGGUCCAGACUCCUACGGGAAGCAGCGGUAGGGAAUCUUCCGCAAUGGGCGAAAGCCUGACGGAGCAACGCCGCGGGAGGGAUGAAGGUCUUCGGAUCGGAGAACUCUGUUAUUAGGGAAGAACAUAUGUGUAAGUAACUGUGCACAUCUUGACGGUACCUAAUCAGAAAGCCACGGCUAACUACGUG